RNAcentral lists this ribosomal RNA (433 nucleotides) under uncultured bacterium. RNAcentral's name for it is "partial 16S ribosomal RNA". It matches the Rfam family "Bacterial small subunit ribosomal RNA", at positions 29 to 507 of the family's 1533-position model. The record is from RNAcentral.
AACGAACGCUGGCGGCAUGCCUAACACAUGCAAGUCGAACGAGAACUUCGGGUCUAUUGGCGCACGGGUGCGUAACGCGUGGGAACCUGCCCUUAGGUUCGGAAUAACUCCCCGAAAGGGGUGCUAAUACCGGAUAAUGUCUUCGGACCAAAGAUUUAUCGCCUCUGGAUGGGCCCGCGUUGGAUUAGCUAGUUGGUAGGGUAAAAGCCUACCAAGGCGACGAUCCAUAGCUGGUCUGAGAGGAUGAUCAGCCACACUGGGACUGAGACACGGCCCAGACUCCUACGGGAGGCAGCAGUGGGGAAUAUUGGACAAUGGGCGAAAGCCUGAUCCAGCAAUGCCGCGUGAGUGAUGAAGGCCUUAGGGUUGUAAAGCUCUUUUACCCGGGAUGAUAAUGACAGUACCGGGAGAAUAAGCUCCGGCUAACUCCGUG